This 496-nucleotide ribosomal RNA is filed under the name uncultured bacterium. Its description in RNAcentral is "bacterial SSU rRNA". It matches the Rfam family "Bacterial small subunit ribosomal RNA", at positions 25 to 518 of the family's 1533-position model. The record is from RNAcentral.
CAGGAUGAACGCUGGCGGCGUGCUUAACACAUGCAAGUCGAACGAAGCAAGUUUAUUACGAUCCCUUCGGGGUGACGAUUGUUGACUGAGUGGCGGACGGGUGAGUAACGCGUGGGUAACCUGCCUUGUACAGGGGGACAACAGUUGGAAACGACUGCUAAUACCGCAUAAGCGCACAGCUUCGCAUGAAGCAGUGUGAAAAGUAUUUUCGGUACAAGAUGGACCCGCGUCUGAUUAGCUAGUUGGUGAGGUAACGGCCCACCAAGGCGACGAUCAGUAGCCGACCUGAGAGGGUGACCGGCCACAUUGGGACUGAGACACGGCCCAAACUCCUACGGGAGGCAGCAGUGGGGAAUAUUGCACAAUGGGCGAAAGCCUGAUGCAGCGAACCGCCGCGUGAGCGAAGAAGUAUUUCGGUAUGUAAAGCUCUAUCAGCAGGGAAGAUAAUGACGGUACCUGACUAAGAAGCACCGGCUAAAUACGUGCCAGCAGCGGC